This 253-nucleotide ribosomal RNA is filed under the name uncultured bacterium. Its description in RNAcentral is "partial 16S ribosomal RNA". It matches the Rfam family "Bacterial small subunit ribosomal RNA", at positions 524 to 776 of the family's 1533-position model. The record is from RNAcentral.
UACGUAGGGGGCAAGCGUUGUCCGGAAUUACUGGGCGUAAAGCGUGCGUAGGUGGUUCUUUAAGUCAGGUGUGAAAUCCCUGGGCUCAACCUGGGAACUGCAUUUGAUACUGGAGAGCUAGAGUGUGGUAGAGGGUGGUGGAAUUCCCGGUGUAGCGGUGAAAUGCGUAGAUAUCGGGAGGAACAUCAGUGGCGAAGGCGGCCACCUGGACCAACACUGACACUGAGGCACAAAAGCGUGGGUAGCAAACAGG